This 73-nucleotide transfer RNA is filed under the name Camelus bactrianus (Bactrian camel). It matches the Rfam family "tRNA". From Rfam's summary of the family: Transfer RNA (tRNA) molecules are approximately 80 nucleotides in length. Their secondary structure includes four short double-helical elements and three loops (D, anti-codon, and T loops). Further hydrogen bonds mediate the characteristic L-shaped molecular structure. tRNAs have two regions of fundamental functional importance: the anti-codon, which is responsible for specific mRNA codon recognition, and the 3' end, to which the tRNAs corresponding amino acid is attached (by aminoacyl-tRNA synthetases). tRNAs cope with the degeneracy of the genetic code in two manners: having more than one tRNA (with a specific anti-codon) for a particular amino acid; and 'wobble' base-pairing, i.e. permitting non-standard base-pairing at the 3rd anti-codon position. RNAcentral also lists the same sequence under 2 other names. The record is from Rfam by way of RNAcentral. Lineage: Eukaryota; Metazoa; Chordata; Mammalia; Artiodactyla; Camelidae.
GAGUGUAUAGCUCAAAUGGUAGUGCGCGUGCUCAGCAUGCAAGAGGUCCCGGGUUCGAUCCCCGGUACCUUCU